Molecule: long non-coding RNA, 696 nt
Filed under: Numida meleagris (helmeted guineafowl)
Lineage: Eukaryota; Metazoa; Chordata; Aves; Galliformes; Numididae
Description: lncRNA (ENSNMEG00000012801.1)
Source: RNAcentral
GAGGAGCAAAGACAACCAGAAAGAAGAUGCAGCAAAACAGAGGGUCACCUCGUGGAACAAGGGAUUCCGAGCGAGUGCACGAAUAACAGCACGUGGCUGAAGGAGAGGUGACAGGCAAGUCCCCUGCAUGAGAAGUUCUGCAGAAUUAGUGGGCUGGAAUGGCAAAAGAAAUCAUGUACCAAAGUUCUCUCCACUGGACAGAAGGAACAUCAUGGUCUUCAUAAGAGGUGAAUUCUGGGCAUAAUUUAAAAGGUUCCUUUCAGCUUUCACUAGUUGGCAAUCAAAAGCACCCAUCAUCCUGGAUCCAAAUGUGCAGUCUGUGCUUUGAGCUAAAACUUGCCGUUGCGAGUAAGGAACAAGCUGGCACAGUGCAUGUUUUGCAAAGGACACGCCAUGAUUACUACCAGGCUAAAUUAACAGUUGGAGAGAGACAGCAGAGAGGAAUUCUUAAACCUGUCCCACGUUCAUUACUCACCAUGGUUUGUGUAUUUCACUGCCACGGAUCGCCACGCAGACAUGAUGCUCAUUAUCUGUGCAGGAGGUCGCCUUUGCGUGCUGGAGGAAAACACUGGAGAUGGGGAAGAUACCCACAGUCCUUCUGUGACUUGGGACAUAAUAAAGUAAACAUGAGUCAGUUCGUAAUGCAGCAAGAGCUCAUUUGGAGCACAGACAGGAGUGUUUAAUGCAACUUCCUUU